Molecule: long non-coding RNA, 1026 nt
Filed under: Cyanistes caeruleus (blue tit)
Lineage: Eukaryota; Metazoa; Chordata; Aves; Passeriformes; Paridae
Description: lncRNA (ENSCCEG00000021145.1)
Source: RNAcentral
AUGCCAGGCCCGCAGCCGGCCCUGCUGGAUAGCCGGGGCUGCCCAGAGCAGGCGAGACCCCGCGCGGGCGGGGCUGGCCCAGCGUUUUUGGGGUGCUGCCGGAGCUCCCCGAGGCUUUGCCGCGGCUGCUGUGCCAUUACAGCGGGUGCCAGAGAGGGUCCGUGCGCUCCCAAGGGGGUCACAGGGAUGGGAGAGCUCCCCGCAGCAGCGUGUGGUGGUGUCUGUGAUGGAAGGAGGGGCUGGACCCCCCCAGUUUCACAGCCGGGGGAGCUGAGUCAGGAAAUCCCGGCUGGCCCGGCCGGAUCCCGGCUGAGUCAUUUGGCGGCGCUGAGCGAGUGCCCGAGCCGGGUUCAGAGCUCCAGAGCCGGGUUCAGAGCUCCAGAGCCGGGUUCAGGGCUCCAGAGCGGGGUUCAGGGCUCCAGAGCCGGGUUCAGAGCUCCCGUGUGGGGUUCAGAGCUCCAGAGCCGGGUUCAGGGCUCCAGAGCCGGGUUCAGAGCUCCCGUGUGGGGUUCAGAGCUCCCGUGUGGGGUUCAGGGCUCCCGUGUGGGGUUCAGAGCUCCCCUGUUGGGGUUCAGAGCUCCCCUGUUGGGGUCCAAGGCUCCCACACCUCUUGUCAGGGGGCAGGGGCUGCCGCACAUGCCCCGGCAGUGCUCCUGGCCCUGGCCUCGGGUCACUCCCUGCAGCCCCAUGCCUCAGUUUCCCCCCAAUGUUUUCCUAGGACUGGAUGAGACAGAAAGCUCCUGGGAUGUGGACGUGUCACACAUCCCGGCACGGCAGCAGGCUCUGAGAGACCAGGGAGAGGGGAAACAGCUUGGGAUGGGGAUUGUGGGACUGGGUGAGCUCUGGUGUGCACUGGGAGGAGAAUGGUAUUCCCAAGGCAGGAUUUGGGAUCCUCCUUCUGGUAAAGGGGGUCUCCAGUCUUGGUGUGCUGGGAAGGGGUUGGCAUUGAGGAGAGGAAUGAGGGUGAAGAAAGGAUGGGGAUGGGAACUGGGAUGGGAAAUAAGAUCGGAAUGGGGACAGGAAUAG